UUUCGAUUGAUGAGUCCCAAAUAGGACGAAGCUCGAGUCUUGAAU
RNAcentral lists this non-coding RNA (45 nucleotides) under Schistosoma mansoni. Lineage: Eukaryota; Metazoa; Platyhelminthes; Trematoda; Strigeidida; Schistosomatidae. The record is from RNAcentral.